This 1372-nucleotide ribosomal RNA is filed under the name uncultured bacterium. RNAcentral describes it as "bacterial SSU rRNA". It matches the Rfam family "Bacterial small subunit ribosomal RNA", at positions 28 to 1381 of the family's 1533-position model. The record is from RNAcentral.
GAUGAACGCUGGCGGCGUGCCUAAUACAUGCAAGUCGAGCGAACGGACGAGAAGCUUGCUUCUCUGAUGUUAGCGGCGGACGGGUGAGUAACACGUGGAUAACCUACCUAUAAGACUGGGAUAACUUCGGGAAACCGGAGCUAAUACCGGAUAAUAUUUUGAACCGCAUGGUUCAAAAGUGAAAGACGGUCUUGCUGUCACUUAUAGAUGGAUCCGCGCUGCAUUAGCUAGUUGGUAAGGUAACGGCUUACCAAGGCAACGAUGCAUAGCCGACCUGAGAGGGUGAUCGGCCACACUGGAACUGAGACACGGUCCAGACUCCUACGGGAGGCAGCAGUAGGGAAUCUUCCGCAAUGGGCGAAAGCCUGACGGAGCAACGCCGCGUGAGUGAUGAAGGUCUUCGGAUCGUAAAACUCUGUUAUUAGGGAAGAACAUAUGUGUAAGUAACUGUGCACAUCUUGACGGUACCUAAUCAGAAAGCCACGGCUAACUACGUGCCAGCAGCCGCGGUAAUACGUAGGUGGCAAGCGUUAUCCGGAAUUAUUGGGCGUAAAGCGCGCGUAGGCGGUUUUUUAAGUCUGAUGUGAAAGCCCACGGCUCAAUCGUGGAGGGUCAUUGGAAACUGGAAAACUUGAGUGCAGAAGAGGAAAGUGGAAUUCCAUGUGUAGCGGUGAAAUGCGCAGAGAUAUGGAGGAACACCAGUGGCGAAGGCGACUUUCUGGUCUGUAACUGACGCUGAUGUGCGAAAGCGUGGGGAUCAAACAGGAUUAGAUACCCUGGUAGUCCACGCCGUAAACGAUGAGUGCUAAGUGUUAGGGGGUUUCCGCCCCUUAGUGCUGCAGCUAACGCAUUAAGCACUCCGCCUGGGGAGUACGACCGCAAGGUUGAAACUCAAAGGAAUUGACGGGGACCCGCACAAGCGGUGGAGCAUGUGGUUUAAUUCGAAGCAACGCGAAGAACCUUACCAAAUCUUGACAUCCUUUGACAACUCUAGAGAUAGAGCCUUCCCCUUCGGGGGACAAAGUGACAGGUGGUGCAUGGUUGUCGUCAGCUCGUGUCGUGAGAUGUUGGGUUAAGUCCCGCAACGAGCGCAACCCUUAAGCUUAGUUGCCAUCAUUAAGUUGGGCACUCUAAGUUGACUGCCGGUGACAAACCGGAGGAAGGUGGGGAUGACGUCAAAUCAUCAUGCCCCUUAUGAUUUGGGCUACACACGUGCUACAAUGGACAAUACAAAGGGCAGCGAAACCGCGAGGUCAAGCAAAUCCCAUAAAGUUGUUCUCAGUUCGGAUUGUAGUCUGCAACUCGACUACAUGAAGCUGGAAUCGCUAGUAAUCGUAGAUCAGCAUGCUACGGUGAAUACGUUCCCGGGUCU